AGAGUUUGAUCCUGGCUCAGAUUGAACGCUGGCGGCAUGCCUUACACAUGCAAGUCGAACGGCAGCACGGGAGCAAUCCUGGUGGCGAGUGGCGAACGGGUGAGUAAUAUAUCGGAACGUGCCCAGUCGUGGGGGAUAACGCAGCGAAAGCUGUGCUAAUACCGCAUACGAUCUCUGGAUGAAAGCGGGGGACUCGUAAGAGCCUCGCGCGAUUGGAGCGGCCGAUAUCAGAUUAGCUAGUUGGUGGGGUAAAGGCCCACCAAGGCGACGAUCUGUAGCUGGUCUGAGAGGACGACCAGCCACACUGGAACUGAGACACGGUCCAGACUCCUACGGGAGGCAGCAGUGGGGAAUUUUGGACAACGGGCGCAAGCCUGAUCCAGCAAUGCCGCGUGCAGGAUGAAGGCCUUCGGGUUGUAAACUGCUUUUGUACGGAACGAAAAGGUCUGCCUUAAUACGGUGGGCCCAUGACGGUACCGUAAGAAUAAGCACCGGCUAACUACGUGCCAGCAGCCGCGGUAAUACGUAGGGUGCGAGCGUUAAUCGGAAUUACUGGGCGUAAAGCGUGCGCAGGCGGUUAUAUAAGACAGAUGUGAAAUCCCCGGGCUCNACCUGGGACCUGCAUUUGUGACUGUAUAGCUAGAGUACGGUAG
This 653-nucleotide ribosomal RNA is filed under the name uncultured bacterium. RNAcentral's name for it is "bacterial SSU rRNA". It matches the Rfam family "Bacterial small subunit ribosomal RNA", at positions 8 to 654 of the family's 1533-position model. The record is from RNAcentral.